RNAcentral lists this long non-coding RNA (1041 nucleotides) under Sinocyclocheilus grahami. RNAcentral describes it as "lncRNA (ENSSGRG00000027136.1)". Lineage: Eukaryota; Metazoa; Chordata; Actinopteri; Cypriniformes; Cyprinidae. The record is from RNAcentral.
GCUACUUGGAAAGAAAAACAAGUUGACAAAAAGAUUGAAUGCAAGAUUUGGUAAUAAUAUAGUAUAACGAGAGAUUUAUGAGCUAUUAAAAUUUUAAAAACCUUUUAACCAGGAAAUAAAUUGCCACCUGUCUGUUGACACACACACACACACACACACACACACACACACUCACACAGACUCUCGCACACACAGACUCUCGCUCACACAGACUCUCGCUCACACAGACUCUCGCUCACACAGACACACAGACUCUCGCUCACACAGACUCUCGCUCACACAGACACACAGACUCUCGCUCACACAGACUCUCGCUCACACAGACUCUCACACACACAGACUCUCGCACACAGACUCUCACUCUCACACAGACUCACUCUCACACAGACUCACACACACACACUCUCACUUACACAGACUCACACACAGACUCUCACUCACACAGACUCACACACAGACGCUCACUCACACAGACUCACAGACUCUCACUCACUCACACACAGACUCUCACUCUCACACAGACUCACUCUCACACAGACUCACACACAGACGCUCACUCACACAGACUCACAGACUCUCACUCACACAGACUCACACACAGACUCUCACUCUCACACAGACUCACUCUCACACAGACUCACACACACACACUCUCACUUACACAGACUCACACACAGACUCUCACUCACACAGACUCACACACAGACGCUCACUCACACAGACUCACAGACUCUCACUCACUCACACACAGACUCUCACUCACACAGACUCACAGACACACUCUCACAGACUCACACACAGACUCUCACUCUCACUCACUCACACACAGACUCACACACUGACUCUCACUCACACAGACUCACACAGACUCACUCACACACAGACUCUCACUCACACACAGACUCACACAGACUCUCACUCACACACAGACUCACACACAGACUCUCUCACUCACUCACACACAGACUCUCACUCACUCACACAGACUCUCACUCACACAGACUCACACACAGACUCUCACUCUCACACAGACUCACACAC